AAUUGUUUAUACAACCAGGAGGUUGGCUUAGAAGCAGCAACCCUUUAAAGAAAGCGUAAUAGCUCACUGGUCUAAUGAUACCGCGCCGAAAAUUUAACGGGGCUAAGCAUAGUACCGAAGCUACGGAUUCGAUAAGCUGAUUUAAGGUUAUGAGCAGGAAGGAUAGUUACAUUUCGCGAGCGUUUUUUGCGAGCAACUCCCCUCCCGGCUAAGCACCUUAGUCAGAAAAAGUUGAUAGUCUUAAAUCAGCUUAUCGAAUGGUAGGAGAACAUUGUGGCCGCCUGAGAAGGUACACCGAAAGGAGUGCUGGAGGUUCCACAAGAGCUUAUGUUGACACGAGUAGCGAAAAUGAGGGUGAGAAACCCUCACGCCGAAAGCCUAAGGU
This 385-nucleotide ribosomal RNA is filed under the name Desulforhopalus sp. IMCC35007. RNAcentral's name for it is "Bacterial large subunit ribosomal RNA". It matches the Rfam family "Bacterial large subunit ribosomal RNA", at positions 1079 to 1351 of the family's 2925-position model. Lineage: Bacteria; Pseudomonadati; Thermodesulfobacteriota; Desulfobulbia; Desulfobulbales; Desulfocapsaceae. The record is from Rfam by way of RNAcentral.